Molecule: long non-coding RNA, 277 nt
Organism: Lolium perenne
Lineage: Eukaryota; Viridiplantae; Streptophyta; Magnoliopsida; Poales; Poaceae
Source: RefSeq, a predicted model, not a curated record
UUCCUAUUAAUUGCAGCAAGCAUGCUUAUGACGUGGUCUGGUGAGAGGAGUUCAAAUUAGUAUGGCUCGACUAAUAUAGGUAAUGUUCCUCUUGAAGGAAAAGGACAUUGAAAUUUUUCAUGAUGCAACUAUUUAAAGACAUGCAUCCGACUGAGUGGUGACAUAGGACUGGUUAGAAGUGGUUGUUCGAGUUUAGUGAGUUUAUUUCAUAUUUGGCCAAUGGUAUGUAUUAAACAAUGAUGCUUUGUUUUGUGAAGACUUCAAGAGUUCUACAUUU